CAGUAGCCACGGUAAUACAGAGGAUGCAAGCGUUAUCCGGAAUGAUUGGGCGUAGAGCGUCUGUAGGUGGCUUUUCAAGUCCGCCGUCAAAUCCCGGGGCUCAACCCCGGAACUGCCUUUGAUACUGGGAGUCUUGAGUUCGAGAGAGGUGAGUGGAAUUGCGAGUGUAGAGGUGAAAUUCGUAGAUAUUCGCAGGAACACCAGUGGCGAAGGCGGCCAUCUGGGACAACACUGACGCUGAGGCACGAAAGCGUGGGGAGCAAACAGGAUUAGAUACCCCGGUAGUCCCUGUCUCUUAUAC
RNAcentral lists this ribosomal RNA (301 nucleotides) under uncultured bacterium. Its description in RNAcentral is "partial 16S ribosomal RNA". It matches the Rfam family "Bacterial small subunit ribosomal RNA", at positions 509 to 807 of the family's 1533-position model. The record is from RNAcentral.